RNAcentral lists this ribosomal RNA (209 nucleotides) under uncultured bacterium. Its description in RNAcentral is "partial 16S ribosomal RNA". It matches the Rfam family "Bacterial small subunit ribosomal RNA", at positions 568 to 774 of the family's 1533-position model. The record is from RNAcentral.
UGCGUAGGCGGGUCUUUAAGUCAGGGGUGAAAUCCUGGAGCUCAACUCCAGAACUGCCUUUGAUACUGAAGAUCUUGAGUUCGGGAGAGGUGAGUGGAACUGCGAGUGUAGAGGUGAAAUUCGUAGAUAUUCGCAAGAACACCAGUGGCGAAGGCGGCUCACUGGCCCGGACUACUGACGCUGAGGCACGAAAGCGUGGGGAGCAAACA